Molecule: ribosomal RNA, 448 nt
Filed under: uncultured bacterium
Lineage: Bacteria
Description: SSU rRNA
Rfam family: Bacterial small subunit ribosomal RNA
Source: RNAcentral
AGAGCGAACGCUGGCGGCAGGCUUAACACAUGCAAGUCGAGCGGGCGUAGCAAUACGUCAGCGGCAGACGGGUGAGUAACGCGUGGGAACGUACCUUUUGGUUCGGAACAACACAGGGAAACUUGUGCUAAUACCGGAUAAGCCCUUACGGGGAAAGAUUUAUCGCCAAAAGAUCGGCCCGCGUCUGAUUAGCUAGUUGGUGAGGUAACGGCUCACCAAGGCGACGAUCAGUAGCUGGUCUGAGAGGAUGAUCAGCCACAUUGGGACUGAGACACGGCCCAAACUCCUACGGGAGGCAGCAGUGGGGAAUAUUGGACAAUGAGCGCAAGCCUGAUCCAGCCAUGCCGCGUGAGUGAUGAAGGCCCUAGGGUUGUAAAGCUCUUUUGUGCGGGAAGAUAAUGACGGUACCGCAAGAAUAAGCCCCGGCUAACUUCGUGCCAGCAGCCGC